AUGGCGGCAGUCGGAGCGGCACCACUGCUCUACCAGCAGCAGGCGCAGGCGGCGGGGGACGGCUGCUACUUCUCUUUCAUGUCCGCCUACUUCUCUAACGGGGAAGCCAGCUCGAACGCCUCCAGCCCAGCGUCCAGCUUCUCGGCCGCGCUCGGCGCCACACCGCCCGCUGCACCGGUGAUCGCCGCCGACCCCGCGGCACAGUUCGACAUCUCCGAGUACCUCUUCGACGAGGGCGCGUUCUCUGCAGCGCUCCCGCCCGUCGUCUCCGUGCCGGCCGUUGACGCGGCUGCUGCAAGUUCGGCGACCGCGGUGACUGCGAGGAGCGCCGAGUCGGCGGCGGCGGCGGAGCGCCCGCGGACGGAGCGCAUCGCGUUCCGGACGAGGUCGGAGGUCGAGAUCCUCGACGACGGCUACAAGUGGCGCAAGUACGGCAAGAAGUCCGUCAAGAACAGCCCAAACCCAAGGAACUACUACCGGUGCUCGACGGAAGGGUGCAACGUGAAGAAGCGGGUGGAACGGGACCGGGACGACCCGGCGUACGUGGUGACCACGUACGAGGGCACGCACAGCCAUGUGAGCCCCAGCACCAUCUACUACGCCAGCCAGGACGCCACCUCCGGCCGCUUCUUCAUCGCCGGCACGCACCCGCCGCCAGGCUCACUGUUGUAG
Molecule: ribosomal RNA, 672 nt
Filed under: Triticum aestivum (bread wheat)
Lineage: Eukaryota; Viridiplantae; Streptophyta; Magnoliopsida; Poales; Poaceae
Description: partial small subunit ribosomal RNA
Source: RNAcentral